GCUUUCAUGUGCCUCAAUAGGUAGAAGGGAGUCCUGCUGUGUGUGUGUGUGUGUGUGUGUGUGUGUGAGAGAGAGAGAGAGAGAGAGAGAGAGAGAGAGAGAGAGAGAGAGAUUAGUUAAUUGGGGUAUUUGAGGCCUUGUACAUAAAAUUUACUAUCAGCAAUCAGUGCAGCGGGGAUUGCUGUAGUCUGAUGCCCUUUGGCCUUGUGAUCUGAUCCUAAUGAGAACUUUUUUAUGUGGCCGUUCACACCGCAUUUUAUGAAGGACACAUAUGAAGACAGACGCUGUGGCACGGUUAGUGUGAAGGAUAUCCUGGAUAUUUCACAACUCAUUUCCACUUCUACCAACAGUUAACAGACUGUUUUCAACGGCAAAGCUGUAUCGUCUUGCGAAAUCUAAGGAAUGACUGGACCGACCAUCUGGGCCUGGAGAAGUCGGCAUGCUGUCAGUGUUUCAUCCGCCCUUCUUGUCAAGCUCUAAUCCUGCAGUAACCCAGAAGCAGAUGCCACCAGCACGAGGGAGGAAUAGUGAGAAGGAGCUGCAGUACAACGUUAAGCUAUGUCCAGCCUGACUUAUAUAAACACUAUAGGUGUUAAUUCAACAUUGGGGAUUCUGCUUUAUACAUGGCAGAUGGUUGUGUGAUUUGUAUUUGUGAGCACCUCACUGCUGCCAAAAAUAACAAAAUAUAAUAACAAAGAUUAAAAUAAAUAAAUAAAUAAAUAAAUAAAGUUCAAACAGUUGCAGCACUUUUGACCUAAAUUUGUACAGGGAGUAGCUUUAUGAAAGCACUAUCAGUUCCAAGCAGAAGACAGGAGUGCUUGAUUAAGUUCUAUAUUGUUCAUGAUAACUGUAAUAUUACAAAGUGCUUCAAGAAUUAUAGUGACUUUUUUUUCUAUGCAGAAUAAGAUCCUGCUGUGAAUUUAUGCGUAUUGGAAACAUACCACAGAGAGCGAUCUGGCACUGUCAAGCUUGCUUUCCAUCAUUUUCCUACAAAUUCUUAAUUACCUACCCCUAGGAUAGACAGGCAUCUGAACAGCAAUUUAACAGUGUUGACUAGCACAAUGUCUUUUGACAAUUGAAGCAGCAAAAAAGGUGAUGCCAGAGCGUAUUAAACAUCACUGGUUUCUUUUCAUAAUAAUCUGUGCAUUGAUGGCUAUUUCAUACCACAGCGCUGUUGAGUUGUUGAAUCUCAUUGGCCAGAUGGUGUUGAUUAAUUUUCCAUAACAUCAUCUCUGACAAUAGUGCUGUCUGUAAUUUAAAUGAUUAUUCUAAUAUGAUAUCAUUAGCAACUUGUUCACAGAGAUGUGUAUGAUGGAUGAUCUGCAUAAUCUAAAUCUAAUAAUAUAGAGAUUACCCUGCUGGAAAAAAAAAUCUAUAGAAACCAUCAAAGAAAUUCUAAUGGUUUCCACUACUAAUACCAUUACAAGCCAUCAAACCAGUAAAGCCAUUACCAUUACCAUUAUUGGUCCUUAAUGGUAUCCACUAGACAUAACAUGCCACCAAUAGUAGGCAACAAAUUACUAGUAAAAACCCACAGGGACCAUUGCAGUUUCCAUUAAAACCAUUACAAUUACAUUCCUAUGAGGGAUUCUAUUGUAUUGUUUUUUUUUCAGCAGAGUAAAAGCAUGUUAUAUAACAAAGACAAACAUAUCAUUAUUAAUAUGGGGAAGUAAGAACAAUUAUUUAGCAUUAAUAGAAUGAGUCUUGAUUUGCCAAAUUGCAAUCUUUGGUAAAUCACUGUGGAAUAUAAGAAGAAUAAGACACUUAGAGAUGUGCUCCUAUAGGAAAAACAAUACACGUGGGGCAUUAUACCACCCUGUCAUGGAUUAUUUUCCUAUAACAGCACAUCCGAGUAUGUUUUAUUCCUUAUUUAUUAAACCACUUAGUAGGUAUAUAAUUACUGACUUAAGCCCAUCUGUUGCACAAGACCACCACAUAAUUUCAUUGGUGGUCUGUUCUCAACCAAGCAAUGAUAUUGAGGUUAUACAAAACCCCAGCAACACUGCUGUACCAGAUACAUUCCUGCCAGAAUUACAUACACACUGUCAUGAUGCUGUAGUGAGAAAAAUCCCCCACCAAAAUAAUAUCAGAUAAAUGGUGGUCCUAUAGUGUUCCUGUUCCCCUCAUGGAUAAAGGCAAGCGUGACUAAUAAUAUACUGAGCUUAUGUGCUUUACUCACAAAAGUGCCCUAAUCAACUUUAAUGAAUUAAAUUUUGCUUAAAACCAUUAGUGUGACAUUUAGCAGAAUAGACAAUUGCUACAUGGAAGGCUGAUCAUCUUUUUCAUAAUCUCUGACCGUGUGGCACACUUCAGACUGCUGUCUGUCCACUUCUUUUCUCUCAGUUCCACUCCCCUCCUCAUUCUCCUCCACCACAUGUAAAGCAUGCAGCUCUUCAGCUGGGCUGAAUGGAACAGUCCUGGUAUUAGCAUGUCAAAACCAGUCUGUGGUCCUCACUGAAAGUUGGGAGGAGCGAAUGAAACGACAAAGCCACAACAGAGACAGCUGAUCCACAAAAGGUGCCUGUUUAAGCACUCUUCCUCUCUGAGUCCAGCUGCUCUUCAGAACUGCUGCGUCACAAUGCGGAGGCGACAUUGAUAAGCACCAUGGCAGACUAACCAUAUGUCUGAAACAUACACACACACUCUGCUUUAAGAGGACAAAGACAAAUAAGGCUGU
Ictalurus punctatus (channel catfish) is the source of this 2677-nucleotide long non-coding RNA. RefSeq lists it as uncharacterized. The record is from RefSeq and is a predicted model, not a curated record. The transcript has 3 exons. Lineage: Eukaryota; Metazoa; Chordata; Actinopteri; Siluriformes; Ictaluridae.